Molecule: unclassified non-coding RNA, 229 nt
Filed under: plant metagenome
Description: partial contains small subunit ribosomal RNA, internal transcribed spacer 1, and 5.8S ribosomal RNA
Source: RNAcentral
UUUCCGUAGGUGAACCUGCGGAGGGAUCAUUACAGAGUUCAUGCCCUAACGGGUAGAUCUCCCACCCUAUGUUAUCAUCACUUUGUUGCUUUGGCGGGCCGUCAGGCCUCGGCUUGGCUACCGGCUCUCGCUGGUAAGCGCCCGCCAGAGAACCCCAAACCCUGAAUAUCAGUGUCGUCUGAGUACUAUAUAAUAGUUAAAACUUUCAACAACGGAUCUCUUGGUUCUG